Molecule: long non-coding RNA, 424 nt
Organism: Hippocampus zosterae (dwarf seahorse)
Lineage: Eukaryota; Metazoa; Chordata; Actinopteri; Syngnathiformes; Syngnathidae
Exons: 2
Source: RefSeq, a predicted model, not a curated record
GUGCUGCACCACGGAAAAAAAACAAGCGCGAAAAGGAGAAGCACCCCCAGAGACGCAGUCCCAAGAUGUGUACGUGAGCGUGUACAUCACCAAAUGUAAAGAAGACCCGCCAAUGCAGAACGGAGUUUUGUAAAACAUACCUCAUGUCCACUAUGAAUGAUGAUAGAUGAAGCAAUCUUGGUGUACUUUGCAUUGAGUCUGGGAGGUCAAAAGCACUGAAUCUUGAAUCACUUCGGAUGGGUUGCCAGAAAUCACGAAAAUCGCAGAAUACAGUUGCUGUAAUAGUAGGGGCAGUUUCAGACUAUUCCACAAGAUCUGCACCUAUAUGAAUCUUUUAUCAGCACUUAACUCAGUACUAUUGUGAUUAUUAUACCGUUUUUCAUUGUCGCGUUAUGUCCACAAUGGUUUAAAAAUUUGAUGAAGA